GUGAUGGGCGCGUGGGGUAUCAUGGGAACCUUCCUGUUAUUUUGAAGGGUUUCUAUAGUAACGGAUCAAUUCUCAUGUCGCAUCGCGGUAAGGAGGCUACAGGGAGAUUUCUUAUUAACCAGGCUGGUCCCACCCUGGCUCCCGCCCGCUUUUAGAUAACAGCCUACUAUAGGUUUGAAAAAGAAGAAGUCGAAUUCGGUGGAAGAGUUGCGUCUCGGAGAGGAGCAUCUCCUGGGAGGUUUGCAUUUACCCACCAGAGGGAGGCGCUCUCUACCCAUGUCACCACGUCUGCCUCAGAGUCCUGUGCACGCCCCCGUCACUGCUUCGUCAUUGACAAUGUGACAGAGAUGAGGUGGGAAGUGUAGUGGCCAUAUACCUCAGUAGAGUCGGAGGGGAUGGACUAUAGGGAGAGUGUCAGCAGCCGCAGGCAGAGAGAUGAAACAGUGAGGGGGCUGGAGGAGAAGGUCAGGCAGCUCCAGAGAGAGCUGGGGGAGGCCCAGACUGAUGCCAGGGCCCACAGGGAGCAGCUCUCCAGCCUCAAGGAGCUGAUCAAGGCGGCCUGGCAGGGGGAGUGUGUGGCUGUUGCUGAAGUCAGCAGGAUUGUGGGUGUCGCUUCGCCUCUCAUCACAGUGUCGGAUGGUGAGAGAGGUCAGUCACACCUGAGCAUUCAGGGCUGCAGAGAUGAGGCUGCUGCUGUGAAGGAGGAGCAAGCUGUCAUCAGUCACACAGGUCCCAUCCUACCUGAGAAGCACCAGAGCACCCAGGAGAUUCCCUUCUCUAAACAGAAGAACUUCCCAGACCAGAAGAACUUCCCAGACCAGAAGAACUACCCAAGAGACAGGAAGGACGACUCCACAGGCAGAAAGAACUACCCUCAAAACAGGAAGAACUCCACACAGGACAGGACGGAUGACUUCACAGACAGGAAGAACUAUCCACAAGCCAGGAAGUACUCCCCAGAUAGGAAGAAUGACCCCACUAUCCCCAGACCCCCACAAUGUUUAUAUAAAAAGUCUAAAGCUCAGACUUGGACCAAGGAUUGCAGUGGGAUGAUUAGUAUUGAGAGAGGCAUUGUGGGAAUGUGGAGGACUCCAUCCUGCCCUCAAGCAGGUGGAGUCAGGCCUGGAUACCUGUGUGAUGAUCACCUGGACAGGAAGAGAGCGGUCUUUCACAGGGAGAUUAUGACCCCAGACGACAUGCGCUUCUGAGUUCUCACAUGGGGAAACCACAGUGACAACCAAACAAGGACUCUCAACUCUAUGUUGAUUUAAAGAUGACUUAAAUAUUUCUGGCGAGCCCAAAUCAAAUUAUGAAAAUGCAGAUUCACUGAGAGCUGCUGUAUCUACCCAAAAUUGUUUGUGAAAGUGGUCAAUCAAUAUAGAAAUGUAUGAUAGAAUGUUGUCAAUAGCAAUCUUUUACUGGAAGAAACGGAUUUAAUGAAAAUAUAGUUAGAGCCAAAAUGGUUUAUGGUGAUAGCUAGAGACAAAACUGUUCUUUAUUAAAACAAUCUUUAUUAAGUUACUCUUUAUUGAGUAGCUUACUGAGAGAUGAUUACCUCCAAGAGACCUCUGUGAUUUCCUAUUAGUCAUCAGUUCUGUACCAUAGAUGUCAUAGAUGGUAAGGACCAAAAUGUUAGCUAAUAAAAUGCACCUCUACAAGCCU
Clupea harengus (Atlantic herring) is the source of this 1662-nucleotide long non-coding RNA. Lineage: Eukaryota; Metazoa; Chordata; Actinopteri; Clupeiformes; Clupeidae. The record is from Ensembl.